GGUCUCAUGGUGUAAUGGUCAGCACUCUGGACUUUGAAUCCAGCGAUCCGAGUUCGAAUCUCGGUGAGACAUGUCA
This 76-nucleotide transfer RNA is filed under the name Rhipicephalus sanguineus (brown dog tick). RNAcentral's name for it is "transfer RNA glutamine (anticodon UUG)". It matches the Rfam family "tRNA". Rfam says of the family: Transfer RNA (tRNA) molecules are approximately 80 nucleotides in length. Their secondary structure includes four short double-helical elements and three loops (D, anti-codon, and T loops). The record is from RNAcentral. Lineage: Eukaryota; Metazoa; Arthropoda; Arachnida; Ixodida; Ixodidae.